Molecule: long non-coding RNA, 405 nt
Filed under: Elaeis guineensis (African oil palm)
Lineage: Eukaryota; Viridiplantae; Streptophyta; Magnoliopsida; Arecales; Arecaceae
Description: long non-coding RNA (EGUI_LNC010614)
Source: RNAcentral
UCAUAUCGCAACGUAAAUACAUCAGACCUCAUUAUGUUCUUCCUCCAAUUCAAAGGAAUAACAACUGAUUUUCUUCAAAUCUAUUGCAGGGCAAGCUUUGAGAAAUGACCAGAAAGUAAAGAAAGUUCAUAUUGAACAAAAACGAUCGGAAAAUAAAUUUCAACUAUUGAAUCAGAACAGUACAAGUACAAAAACCUCGUUGUGACAUACAUUCUCUUGUACUUGCCUGCCCUUAGCAAUGGACAUCAACACUCGCUGACACAAGCUAAGAUGGACCAGCACAUGGUUGAACUGCAUAAAAACACAGACGAACCAACCCACGAUUUAUCAUUUGAUCUGACUAAGGAGUAUGUCUGACUUAUUUGUAUUGAUCCAUGUUAUGGUGAGCAUUCAAAACAUAUAUCC